This 102-nucleotide Y RNA is filed under the name Propithecus coquereli (Coquerel's sifaka). RNAcentral describes it as "Y RNA (ENSPCOG00000003492.1)". It matches the Rfam family "Y RNA". From Rfam's summary of the family: Y RNAs are components of the Ro ribonucleoprotein particle (Ro RNP), in association with Ro60 and La proteins. The record is from Rfam by way of RNAcentral. Lineage: Eukaryota; Metazoa; Chordata; Mammalia; Primates; Indriidae.
GGCUGGUCUGAGUGCAGUGGUGUUUAGAACUAAUUGAUCACAACCAGUUUUAGAUUCCUUUGCUCCUUCUCCACUCCCACUGCUUCACUUGACUAGCUUAAA